RNAcentral lists this ribosomal RNA (661 nucleotides) under uncultured Lachnospiraceae bacterium. RNAcentral's name for it is "bacterial SSU rRNA". It matches the Rfam family "Bacterial small subunit ribosomal RNA", at positions 60 to 733 of the family's 1533-position model. Lineage: Bacteria; Bacillati; Bacillota; Clostridia; Lachnospirales; Lachnospiraceae. The record is from RNAcentral.
CACUUUGCUUGGAUUCUUCGGAUGAAGAGGAUUGUGACUGAGCGGCGGACGGGUGAGUAACGCGUGGGUAACCUGCCUCAUACAGGGGGAUAACAGUUAGAAAUGACUGCUAAUACCGCAUAAGACCACAGCACCGCAUGGUGCAGGGGUAAAAACUCCGGUGGUAUGAGAUGGACCCGCGUCUGAUUAGCUAGUUGGUAAGGUAACGGCUUACCAAGGCGACGAUCAGUAGCCGACCUGAGAGGGUGACCGGCCACAUUGGGACUGAGACACGGCCCAAACUCCUACGGGAGGCAGCAGUGGGGAAUAUUGCACAAUGGGGGAAACCCUGAUGCAGCGACGCCGCGUGAGUGAAGAAGUAUUUCGGUAUGUAAAGCUCUAUCAGCAGGGAAGAAAAUGACGGUACCUGACUAAGAAGCACCGGCUAAAUACGUGCCAGCAGCCGCGGUAAUACGUAUGGUGCAAGCGUUAUCCGGAUUUACUGGGUGUAAAGGGAGCGUAGACGGAUGGGCAAGUCUGAUGUGAAAACCCGGGGCUCAACCCCGGGACUGCAUUGGAAACUGUUCAUCUAGAGUGCUGGAGAGGUAAGUGGAAUUCCUAGUGUAGCGGUGAAAUGCGUAGAUAUUAGGAGGAACACCAGUGGCGAAGGCGGCUUACUGGA